CUGUUCGGGGAAUGAUGUAUUAUUAUCGGGCUUUGAAAAUUCUCGCGUAUCUUGAUUCCGCUUCUGAAGUGGAAAUCAG
Molecule: small nucleolar RNA, 79 nt
Organism: Lactuca sativa (garden lettuce)
Lineage: Eukaryota; Viridiplantae; Streptophyta; Magnoliopsida; Asterales; Asteraceae
Product: small nucleolar RNA J33
Source: RefSeq, a predicted model, not a curated record